UGAAAACCAGUCAUCAAAGCUAACCGUGAGAAGACUUGAGGAUCUAGGGAAAGAUUUAGAAGAAGUGCAUCUUAUACUAAAUGGUGACCUUCUGCAGGAAGAGCCCAGGAAUCAGCAUCCAGAGCCAUCCAGAAGCUUCCAUAGCAAGCCACCACCCUAUGCUUUGAGAUUUUGACCCAACACAAGCACAUGCCCAGAUAGAUAGAAGCAC
This 211-nucleotide long non-coding RNA is filed under the name Cricetulus griseus (Chinese hamster). Its description in RNAcentral is "lncRNA (ENSCGRG00000024153.1)". The record is from RNAcentral. Lineage: Eukaryota; Metazoa; Chordata; Mammalia; Rodentia; Cricetidae.